UACUACCGAGAGACCGAUAGCGAACCAGUACCGUGAGGGAAAGGUGAAAAGGACCCCGGAAGGGGAGUGAAAGAGACCCUGAAACCAUGCGCCUACAAGCGGUCGGAGCUCCGUUAGUGGAGUGACGGCGUGCCUUUUGCAUAAUGAGCCUGCGAGUUGCGGUCGCCGGCGAGGCUAAGUCACGCAGUGACGGAGCCGGAGCGAAAGCGAGUCCGAAGAGGGCGCGGAGUCGGCGGCUGCAGACGCGAAACCGGGUGAUCUACGCAUGGGCAGGCUGAAGGCUGGGUAACACCAGCUGGAGGGCCGAACCGGUAAGCGUUGAAAAGCUUUCGGAUGACCUGUGCGUAGGAGUGAAAGGCCAAUCAAACCCGGAGAUAGCUCGUACUCCCCGAAAUGCAUUUAGGUGCAGCCCCGGGACAGUACCGCGGAGGUAGAGCGACCGAUAGGAUGCGAGGGCUUCGCCGCCUGUCAAGUCCUGACGAACUCCGAAUGCCGCGGCACGGUUCCCGGGAGUGAGGGCGCGGGUGCUAAGGUCCGCGUCCGAGAGAGGAACAACUCAGACCACCGUCUAAGGCCCCCAAAUCCGGGCCGAGUUGAAGCCAAUAACGAGGUGGGACCGCACAGACAGUUAGGAUGUUGGCUUGGAAGCAGCCAUUCAUUCAAAGAGUGCGUAACAGCUCACUAAUCGAGCGGUCCCGCGUGGAUAAUAAUCGGGCAUAAGUCCGGUGCCGAAGACGUGGAAUCCAUCCUUGAGAUGGAUUGGUAGGGGAGCAUUCCGCCGCCGGCGAAGGCGGGCCGCGAGGCCUGCUGGAGGCGGCGGAAAAGCAAAUGCAGGCAUAAGUAACGACAAAGGGGGCGGGAAACCCCCUCGCCGGAAGACCAAGGGUUCCUGAUCAACGCUAAUCGGAUCAGGGUAAGCCGGGACCUAAGCGGAAGCCGCGAGGCGUACGCGAUGGACAAACGGUGAAGAUUCCGUUGCCCCCGGCCUGUUAGCCCCGUCGAUGACGGAGGAGCGAAAGACGCGCGCGCUGACGGAACAGCGCGUUGAAGGGAGGUAGCCGCAAGGCGAGACCCGACAGUACGCGGAGGCUUCGGCCGAAGCGACAGCCGUACCGUAGCAUACUCCCGAGAAAAGUCGACGCGAGGCGUUCGAGCAGGCCGGGGCCCGUACCGCAAACCGACACAGGUGGCCGGGUAGAGCAUACCGAGGCGCUCGAGAGAUUCACGGUCAAGGAACUAGGCAAACUGGCCCCGUAACCUCGGGAUAAGGGGCCCUCCCCCCUAUACAAGGGGAGGCGCAGAGAAUAGGUCCAGGCAACUGUUUAGCAAAAACACAGGGCUGUGCGAAGCCGCAAGGCGCGGUAUACAGCCUGACACCUGCCCGGUGCCGGAAGGUUAAGCGGAGCUGUCAUCGCAAGAGAAGCAGUGAAGUGAAGCCCCGGUAAACGGCGGCCGUAACUAUAACGGUCCUAAGGUAGCGAAAUUCCUUGUCGGGUAAGUUCCGACCUGCACGAAUGGUGUAAUGAUCCGGACACUGUCUCAACCGUGAGCUCGGUGAAAUUGUAGUAUCGGUGAAGAUGCCGAUUACCCGCAACGGGACGAAAAGACCCCGUGAACCUUUACUGCAGCUUAGCAUUGGGGCCGGGUGUGCGAUGUGUAGGAUAGUCCGGAGGCAGCGAGGCGGGGACGCCAGUUCCCGCGGAGCCGACGUUGAAAUACGGGCCUUCGCACAUUUGGCUUCUAACACGCUUUGAGCGUGGACAUUGCUUGGCGGGUAGUUUGACUGGGGUGGUCGCCUCCAAAAGCGUAACGGAGGCUCCUAAAGGUGCCCUCAGGCCGAUUGGCAACCGGCCGCAGAGUGCAAUGGCAUAAGGGCGCUUGACUGCGAGACGUACAAGUCGAACAGGAAGGAAACUUGAGCAUAGUGAUCCGGCGGUUCCGCAUGGAAGGGCCGUCGCUCAAAGGAUAAAAGGUACUCCGGGGAUAACAGGCUGAUCCCUCCCAAGAGC
Molecule: ribosomal RNA, 2009 nt
Filed under: human gut metagenome
Description: bacterial LSU rRNA
Rfam family: Bacterial large subunit ribosomal RNA
Source: RNAcentral